Small nuclear RNA from Anopheles nili, 161 nucleotides. RefSeq annotates it as U4atac minor spliceosomal RNA. NCBI's taxonomy places the organism in Eukaryota, Metazoa, Arthropoda, Insecta, Diptera, Culicidae. The transcript has a single exon. The record is from RefSeq and is a predicted model, not a curated record.
UUCUUCCUUGUCUUGGGGAGCAUAAUGUCCAGUGAGCGUUUAGUGAGGGCAUUGAUGCUGACAAACCCAUUAUAAGAGGAUCGCACACACGUGCCCUCUAAACCCCCGUCCGGUGGUUCGCUUUCAAACAGCUGAUCCGGCUGGUCGGAAUUUUUGAAGCA